This 786-nucleotide long non-coding RNA is filed under the name Pan troglodytes (chimpanzee). RNAcentral describes it as "long non-coding RNA NONPTRT010144". Lineage: Eukaryota; Metazoa; Chordata; Mammalia; Primates; Hominidae. The record is from RNAcentral.
AGUGCUGAGGGCGGGGAUGGACUGUGUGAUUUGCAUCUACCAAAUGCAGAAAAUUUGGAAGGUCAGUUGGUACACUUUUCCGACCCUAGAUUUCCUGAUGGAUGAUGCUGAAGAGUGGCAAGUUCCUGCCAAAAACAAACAAACAAAAAAACUACCAUGAUUUAUUAAUAUUAUUUUUCUAACCCCUGAAUAUGGGUUAUUGUUCAUCUCUGCCCGCUUUCCCCACUCCCUAGUGCUUGUCUCAGAAUUUUUUUUUUCAGCGGGUAUUUGAGUAGAGAAGGGUGUCCCAGGGAAAAAAAUGGUUCUUGCUUUCUCUAAUCUGAAUGUUGAGCUGAGCUGUGACUGGGCUAACAGUAGCGUUUGUUGUUGCUGCUGCUGCAGCUUGUUUCAAGUAGUGCCAUUGUAAUUAAACUCCGUGAAGAGAUAGCAUCUUUUCUUCCGGAGAGAGUCAGUGUUGUCACCUCAGUUCACGAAUUCAUGUAGCCAUCUCCAGGAUGAAAUGCAGCCCCUAUUCCCUCAGACAUUUAUGCAGCCAAAAAACAUAUGAAAAAAAGCUCAUCAUCACUGGUCAUUAGAGAAAUGUAAAUCAAAACCACAAUGAGAUACCAUCUCAUGCCAGUUAGAAUGGCGAUCAUUAAAAAGUCAGGAAACAACAGAUGCAGGAGAGGAUGUGGAAGAAUUAAGUACUGAUACAUACUACAACAUGGAUGAAUCUUUAAAGCAUUAUGCUAAGUGAAAGAAGCCAGUAACAAAGGACCACAUAUAAUAUAAAAUAUCAGGCUGGGU